This 164-nucleotide ribosomal RNA is filed under the name Castilleja sulphurea. Its description in RNAcentral is "5.8S ribosomal RNA". It matches the Rfam family "5.8S ribosomal RNA". Rfam says of the family: 5.8S ribosomal RNA (5.8S rRNA) is a component of the large subunit of the eukaryotic ribosome. The record is from RNAcentral. Lineage: Eukaryota; Viridiplantae; Streptophyta; Magnoliopsida; Lamiales; Orobanchaceae.
UAACGACUCUCGGCAACGGAUAUCUCGGCUCUCGCAUCGAUGAAGAACGUAGCGAAAUGCGAUACUUGGUGUGAAUUGCAGAAUCCCGUGAACCAUCGAGUCUUUGAACGCAAGUUGCGCCCGAAGCCUCACGGCCGAGGGCACGCCUGCCUGGGCGUCACGCA